GCUGGGCGUGGUGGCGCAUGCCUGUAAUCCCAGCUACUCAGGAGGCUGAGGCAGGAGAAUCGCUUGAACCCAGGAGGUGGAGGUUGCAGUGAGCCUAGAUCGCACCACUGCACCACUCCAGCCUGGGUGACAGAGCGAUCCUGCAUCUG
Molecule: non-coding RNA, 149 nt
Filed under: Chlorocebus sabaeus (green monkey)
Lineage: Eukaryota; Metazoa; Chordata; Mammalia; Primates; Cercopithecidae
Source: Rfam by way of RNAcentral